UGAAUGGUGACUAAAACCGUAUC
RNAcentral lists this small nuclear RNA (23 nucleotides) under Arabidopsis thaliana (thale cress). RNAcentral's name for it is "snRNA_17376". The record is from RNAcentral. Lineage: Eukaryota; Viridiplantae; Streptophyta; Magnoliopsida; Brassicales; Brassicaceae.